RNAcentral lists this ribosomal RNA (253 nucleotides) under uncultured bacterium. Its description in RNAcentral is "partial 16S ribosomal RNA". It matches the Rfam family "Bacterial small subunit ribosomal RNA", at positions 524 to 776 of the family's 1533-position model. The record is from RNAcentral.
UACGGAGGGUGCAAGCGUUAUCCGGAUUCACUGGGUUUAAAGGGUGCGUAGGAGGGCAGGUAAGUCAGUGGUGAAAUCUCCAAGCUUAACUUGGAAACUGCCGUUGAUACUAUCUGUCUUGAAUACGGUGGAGGCGGGCAGAAUGCGUCAUGUAGUGGUGAAAUACUUAGAUAUGACGCAGAAUACCCAUUGCGAAGGCAGCUCGCUACGCCGGCAUUGACACUGAGGCACGAAAGCGUGGGGAUCAAACAGG